This 699-nucleotide ribosomal RNA is filed under the name uncultured bacterium. RNAcentral's name for it is "bacterial SSU rRNA". It matches the Rfam family "Bacterial small subunit ribosomal RNA", at positions 8 to 708 of the family's 1533-position model. The record is from RNAcentral.
AGAGUUUGAUCCUGGCUCAGGACGAACGCUGGCGGCGUGCUUAAUGCAUGCAAGUCGAACGAAGAACCCACUAUGGGUAACCACUGUGGAAUUCUUAGUGGCGAACGGGUGAGUAACACGUGAGAAACCUGCCCCGGAGACCGGAAUAGCCCAGGGAAACCUGGAUUAAUACCGGAUACCCUCUUGCGAUCGCAUGAUCGAUUGAGGAAAUGGUCCGCCGCUCCGGGAUGGUCUCGCGCCCUAUCAGCUAGUUGGUGAGGUAACGGCUCACCAAGGCAAUGACGGGUAGCUGGUCUGAGAGGACGAUCAGCCACACUGGGACUGAGACACGGCCCAGACUCCUACGGGAGGCAGCAGCAGGGAAUUUUGCACAAUGGGCGAAAGCCUGAUGCAGCGACGCCGCGUGGGGGAUGAAUGCCUUCGGGUUGUAAACCCCUUUCAGGAGGGACGAAGCGAAAGUGACGGUACCUCCAGAAGAAGCCCCGGCCAACUACGUGCCAGCAGCCGCGGUAAUACGUAGGGGGCGAGCGUUGUCCGGAUUUAUUGGGCGUAAAGAGCUCGUAGGCGGCUCAGCAAGUCGGCCGUGAAAACCUGAGGCUCAACCUCAGGACGCCGGUCGAAACUGCUGUGGCUAGGGUUCGGUAGAGGAGAGUGGAAUUCCCGGUGUAGCGGUGAAAUGCGCAGAUAUCGGGAGGAACA